AUCUUAAUUUAUAGGUGAAUCAGUGGCUAACCUGGUUAGAAACUGCUGAAGAAGAAGAAUCAGAGGAAGAAGCUGACUAAAGAACCAGCCAAAGCCUUAAAUUGUGCAAAACAUACUGUUGCUAUGAUGUAACUGCAUUUGACCUAACCACUGCGAAAAUUCAUUCCGCUGUAAUGUUUUCACAAUAUUUAAAGCAGAAGCACGUCAGUUAGGAUUUCCUUCUGCAUAAGGUUUUUUUGUAGUGUAAUGUCUUAAUCAUAGUCUACCAUCAAAUAUUUUAGGAGUAUCUUUAAUGUUUAGAUAGUAUAUUAGCAGCAUGCAAUAAUUACAUCAUAAGUUCUCAAGCAGAGGCAGUCUAUUGCAAGGACCUUCUUUGCUGCCAGUUAUCAUAGGCUGUUUUAAGUUAGAAAACUGAAUAGCAACACUGAAUACUGUAGAAAUGCACUUUGCUCAGUAAUACUUGAGUUGUUGCAAUAUUUGAUUAUCCAUUUGGUUGUUACAGAAAAAUUCUUAACUGUAAUUGAUGGUUGUUGCCGUAAUAGUAUAUUGCCUGUAUUUCUACCUCUAGUAAUGGGCUUUAUGUGCUAGAUUUUAAUAUCCUUGAGCCUGGGCAAGUGCACAAGUCUUUUUAAAAGAAACAUGGUUUACUUGCACAAAACUGAUCAGUUUUGAGAGAUCGUUAAUGCCCUUGAAGUGGUUUUUGUGGGUGUGAAACAAAUGGUGAGAAUUUGAAUUGGUCCCUCCUAUUAUAGUAUUGAAAUUAAGUCUACUUAAUUUAUCAAGUCAUGUUCAUGCCCUGAUUUUAUAUACU
RNAcentral lists this long non-coding RNA (811 nucleotides) under Homo sapiens (human). RNAcentral describes it as "non-protein coding lnc-ZBED5-5:3". Lineage: Eukaryota; Metazoa; Chordata; Mammalia; Primates; Hominidae. The record is from RNAcentral.